This 484-nucleotide ribosomal RNA is filed under the name uncultured bacterium. Its description in RNAcentral is "partial 16S ribosomal RNA". It matches the Rfam family "Bacterial small subunit ribosomal RNA", at positions 29 to 507 of the family's 1533-position model. The record is from RNAcentral.
AUUGAACGCUGGCGGCAUGCUUUACACAUGCAAGUCGAACGGCAGCGCGGGCUUCGGCCUGGCGGCGAGUGGCGAACGGGUGAGUAAUACAUCGGAACGUGCCCAGUAGUGGGGGAUAGCUCGGCGAAAGCCGGAUUAAUACCGCAUACGACCUGAGGGUGAAAGCGGGGGAUCUUCGGACCUCGCGCUAUUGGAGCGGCCGAUGGCAGAUUAGCUAGUUGGUGGGGUAAAGGCCUACCAAGGCGACGAUCUGUAGCUGGUCUGAGAGGACGACCAGCCACACUGGGACUGAGACACGGCCCAGACUCCUAAGGGAGGCAGCAGUGGGGAAUUUUGGACAAUGGGCGAAAGCCUGAUCCAGCAAUGCCGCGUGUGUGAUGAAGGCCUUCGGGUUGUAAAGCACUUUUGGCGGGAACGAAAAGGACUGUGCCAAUACCACGGUUCGAUGACGGUACCCGAAGAAUAAGCACCGGCUAACUACGUG